This 445-nucleotide ribosomal RNA is filed under the name uncultured bacterium. RNAcentral describes it as "bacterial SSU rRNA". It matches the Rfam family "Bacterial small subunit ribosomal RNA", at positions 354 to 796 of the family's 1533-position model. The record is from RNAcentral.
GUGGGGAAUUUUGCGCAAUGGGGGAAACCCUGACGCAGCGAUGCCGCGUGGAGGACGAAGGUUCUCGGAUUGUAAACUCCUUUUACAGGGGACAAACGUCCAGGUGAAGAGCCUGGAGUGAUGGUACCCUGUGAAUAAGCCACGGCUAACUUCGUGCCAGCAGCCGCGGUAAGACGAAGGUGGCGAGCGUUACUCGGAAUUACUAGGCGUAAAGCGUGGGCAGGUGGUUCGGCAAGUCUGUUGUGAAAGCUCCUGGCUUAACCGGGAGAGGCCAAUGGAUACUACCGGACUUGAAUGUGGGAGGGGUCACUGGAAUUCCUGGUGUAGCGGUGAAAUGCGUAGAUAUCAGGAGGAACACCAAUGGCGAAAGCAGGUGACUAGACCACUAUUGACACUCAUCCACGAAAGCUAGGGGAGCAAACAGGAUUAGAUACCCGUGUAGUCC